This 3533-nucleotide long non-coding RNA is filed under the name Homo sapiens (human). RNAcentral describes it as "HSALNT0116199". The record is from RNAcentral. Lineage: Eukaryota; Metazoa; Chordata; Mammalia; Primates; Hominidae.
CUUUGGCCAAUUGCAUUUUUGUUCCACUGGUAACUAGGUUAAUGUGAACAGACAGAUCUGGUGAGACAGCAUGGGAAGAAAUAACACAUGGGCUUUUGUGCAGCUGGAUAUAAUGAAGGUAACCAACCCCUGCCUACAUUUUACUCUGGAUUCCAAGAGUAGACUGGGCUUCAGGGACCAGAUGCCAGGGCUGGCACAUCUGCCUAAAACCCAUAAUUCUUGAACUUGACGUGCUCAGCCUCUCCAAAGCCGCGGCGCUGACACAGCUCCCCCUGCACGAGUGUACAGCAGUCAGACAGGAACGGGGAGAGGGGGCUCAACUUUCUGACGGCCACUUAGAGGCUGCCUGACCACAAAGACAGGACUGUAAAACAUAGACCGCAUGUGACCUGCUGGUGCUCGGCACUGACCCAGGGGAGGAGGGCCACUUGGGCUGGAAUGCAGUUGCUGGGGGCUCAUGAGGGGCUCAGUGGUGCCCCUGGCCACCGAGUCAAGCAGCGUAGAUUGAUCAGAGGAGCUGAGAGCUGAGGCCCACCCUCCCCUUUCUCCUACACAUGGACACCUCUGAGUGGAAUAAGGGAAGACUGUCCUUUCUCCAAGCUUGAAGGAAGAUGACUGUGACUCUUUUCCUGGACUUCAAGGCAUCGAAGUGUCAGCUGGCUGCCAUCCCAGCGUCUGACAGGGCAGCAGGAGAAAGAGGCCACCUGUAUCAUCCACCCGUGCUGCAGCUGAAUGGGAUCGGUGCAGCAUGAUAGAGGCCAGCUGCCCCGCACCAGGUCUGCGUGUCACAGGGCAGAGUGCAUGGUCUCCCUUCACGUGCGGGGCCAGCUGCCUCAUAGCUUUGGCUCCCAAGAGGUAAGGUACAGGUAGUCUGGCUGCCUGCAUUAUCCUCCAGCCUCAAAAUACAUGGGGAACUGAAAAUAAACAAACUGUUGAUUCCUUGAGCUUAAGAAGGCCUCUUGGUGUUCCUUUAUACCUUUUCGAGUCUCUCCUAAGAUCAGAGAGAGGAGUGAAGAGGGGGAAGGUGUAUGGCCAAAGGAGGACUUGCCCUGAUUGCCACUGGCAAAGACGCUGAGCCUUAGGGACCAUCCAGAGGCAUGCAGGACCCCUGCUGCAGCAUUCUUGAAAAAUGAUGUCUUCCUACGCCUCCCUGACUCAACCAGAAGCUCACAGGUCCCAGCACCGCAGAAAAUCAUCUUGAACACCUCCCAAGGCCAAUCUCCCAUUGCAACAAAUGAACUAUUAAAAACAGGGGUCUCUUUUAUCCUACCGUCAUCUCAUUUCCAGAUAAAACACCUCCAGUUUCUUCAAUGACUUCCACGAGAAGACCUCUCUGGAGAGGUCUGAACAUUGUCUUCUGUCAGCUCCCUCUUGAUUUUGGGACCAAGCAUUGAAUAUAAAGUUAGGAUGUGGCCUGAUUAGCAUAGGCAGAGUACUGAGAAGCCUUCCUUGUGCCUGUCACUACACUUCCAUCAACAGACUCCAUCAACAGGAGGCAACGCAGCCUCAGGAUACCACCUGCCCACGGCCCACCUGAGGGAACCUGCUGCCCACAGCCUCUGCUCCCAGAGGGACCUACCCAGUCCCAAAGCUGAGGCACCACCCAUCCUUGAAUGGCCAGAGUAACCUGUCUCAAGAAUAUGAGCAAGAUGAUUCCAAGAGAAAGUGGCAGUCAACAGUGGUUUUGUACAAUGCGGAUAAAUAUUAGAAAGGCCAUCCAGGAUGCGUCAUUUGCAAGCUUGGGUGGACAGGCAGCUGCCAACAGUGACAGCAGGUGGCCCAUGAGUGAAACUUAGAGAAUUAGGGGACUGCUUUGGUCUUGGCAGAUUUCCUGGCCAGUCCAUGGAACCCUCAAAAUAGGUCCCUUAAUUUUGUAGAAAAAUGGUGUCACCUUUAAACGUUGUAAACUACAUUUAUAAAUUUAAGACAUUCUUUUUUUUCUUUUUUCUUUUCUUUUCUUUUACUUUUUUCUUUUCUUUUCUUUUCUUUUUUUGGGAUGGAGUCUCACUCUGUUGCCCAGACUGGAGUGCAGUGGCAUGAUCUUGGCUCACUGCACCCUCCCCCUCCCGGGUUCAAGCGAUUCUCCUUCCUCAGCCUCCUGAGUAGCUGGGAUUACAGGCGCACCACCACACCCAGCUAAUUUUUGUAUUUUUAGUAGAGAUGGUCUUUCACCGUAUUGGCUAGGCUGGUGUCGAAGUCCUGAUCUCAAGUGAUCCCACCUCGGCCUCCCAAAAUGCUGAGAUUACAGGCAUGAGCCACUGCGCCCGGCCUUAACACACUCUUAAGUACUUCCAAAGUCUGAUUUAAAAAAUAGUUUUGUUUUUCCUGAGGACUUAAAUAACUUAUAAAUAAAUCAAAGCAAUAGAUAUAGUGCGCCUUAAGUUCUCUGAAAGGCUUUGAUACUGUUUACAAACUUUGUCAGAGUUCAAUUUAAUAUCCCUAGCCUCAGUCAAUUACUCAAUUGUGUUUCAAGCUAAGUCACAAGGCUGAGCUGUUUCACUAAUUAACCACAUUCCUUUAGAAGUUCAAGUAUGUAUAAAUUCCUUAAUACAAAAUAUUGGUUCUGUGUUUUUUAAUUCUUUAAAACAUUUCUCUACUUAAUUCUAAAUCUUUUAGGGUGAAAGAUGAUUAGCUACUAAGGAAACUAUUGCACCAUCCCACACAACUAUUUUAGGUGAUGUUCCUGUAUUAUUUUUGGGAUUGUCCUCUCAAUUUGCUUGUAGUUGCGUUAUAAUCAAAACGUUUAGCUGGGGUGCUGACUAGAUUCUUCAUGGUGACCAAGUGGGUUCCAUGGAGCCCUAUUUAUAGUUGCCAUAGUGAUGAUUCCAUAACCCACAGGCGAGGGGCAGGGAGCCCUUGACUUUAAAUCCAAAUUCUCUCUCUCUCUCUCUCUAAUAUCAUAUAUAUUUUAUAUAUAUAUAAAAUACCUCCAUUCAAGUCACUUGGCAGAAUUUUGCACUAUUGUGCUCUUAAGAUAUAAAUAUAUUUCCAUCUCAAGGUCACGUCAGGCUUAAUAAAAUUCUGUAUUGUCAAAGUCUAUACAGGACCACACACAUUCUUCGUGUAUUCAAUCGCAUUUUUGAUAUCUCUCAUAGCCAUUUUUGAUAGUUGCAAAUUCUAAGGCCAUUCAUUCCCACAAUCUAUUUGAUGAAAGUUUUUAAAAAAUGGAAUAUUCAAUCCUUUAUAGCCAAUGAGGGCCUGAGCCUUGAACCAGUGAACAGUACUGAGUAGCAGUUAGGAGGGCGGGGAGUCAGACUGCCUGGGCUUAACGUCGUGGCUCUGUCACUCAUUUCGUACUCUUAAUCAUCAUGCUAUAGAAACUCCCACAAUGUGUGUGUGUGCAUGUGUUAUUAAAUCCUUCAGAUACUUCUCAGACUCUUGCCUGUGUAGAUAAACAACGUGUGUUUUCUAUCACCUUGGCUUGUCUCUAGUACCUGGUUUUUUAACCAAACAUUACUCUGGGUGUUGUGGUGAAGGUAUGUUGUAGAUGGGGUUAAAAUCUACAAUCAGUGGGAUUGCCCUUGAUAAUCUUA